Molecule: ribosomal RNA, 495 nt
Filed under: uncultured bacterium
Lineage: Bacteria
Description: partial 16S ribosomal RNA
Rfam family: Bacterial small subunit ribosomal RNA
Source: RNAcentral
UUGAACGCUGGCGGCAGGCCUAACACAUGCAAGUCGAGCGCUAAAGGUUUUCGGACUGAGUAAAGCGGCGGACGGGUGAGUAACGCGUGGGAAUCUGCCCAGUAGUGGGGGACAACAGUCGGAAACGACUGCUAAUACCGCAUACGCCCUACGGGGGAAAGGGGGGGAUCUUCGGACCUCUCGCUAUUGGAUGAGCCCGCGUCGGAUUAGCUAGUUGGUAGGGUAAAGGCCUACCAAGGCUACGAUCCGUAACUGGUCUGAGAGGAUGAUCAGUCACACUGGAACUGAGACACGGUCAGACUCCUACGGGAGGCAGCAGUGGGGAAUAUUGGACAAUGGGGGCAACCCUGAUCCAGCCAUGCCGCGUGUGUGAAGAAGGCCUUAGGGUUGUAAAGCACUUUCAGUGGGGAGAAAGGUUUGUCACCUAAUACGUGAUGAAAUUGAUGUUACCCACAGAAGGAGCACCGGCUAACUCCGUGCCAGCCGCCGCAGUAA